Non-coding RNA from Phascolarctos cinereus (koala), 544 nucleotides. NCBI's taxonomy places the organism in Eukaryota, Metazoa, Chordata, Mammalia, Diprotodontia, Phascolarctidae. The record is from RefSeq and is a predicted model, not a curated record.
UUGGCCUCUCCACUUCAGGGGAGUAUUGAUAGGCUCUGAAAACAUCUGUGGUCCUCUGGUCCUCGACCCAUGAGUGGAGCAAUCGGUUGGUGUUGGCUGUUAUUCCAACUUGCGAAGCGGACAAUUGAGCUGGUGUGCUUCAGGAACCUUGCCACGGUGACUGCCUUCAAAUAAAAAACAAAGAUGCAACCUGGGCUCUGGACCCAGGCUUCCAGCUUCCAAGACUCUGGACCUCUGCAGCCUUCCUCCAAGGUACUGCCGGCCUCUCCCUGCCUCUGUGACUUCUAGGCACUUGAUCUUUGACCUGCUGGCACCGAUGGCUCUUCCCAGGCUUCUCCCACACCAGCUGUUGCCACCCACGGCUAAGCAGAACCAAAGUCAUCCUUCAUCCCACACCAUAGUCUCCUAUGAAUGUACCUCCUCCCCACCACCAUCUUCCCCUCCACCCCUGCCAAGAACCAUCCCAUAGGACAAAUAGUAUUUUGGGGAAAGGAAAAAAAAAACAGCACAUGUGAUCGAUCCAUUGAAAAAGUCCAAAUCCUGU